CUUCUACUUCUAGUUGGAUAUUAGACUCUGGUUCGAGUACUCAUAUAUGUACCUCAAUGCAGGGUCUAAUAGAAAGUAGGAGGUUGAGGAAAGAUAACAUGAUCUUUUAGAGUGACAAUAGAGCAAAAGUUGCUGCAGAAGCUAUUAACACUUAUACUCUUCAAUUACUAUCUAGUUUUAGAUUAGAUUUAAAAAAAUAUUAUUUUGUUCCUGUAGCU
Molecule: long non-coding RNA, 218 nt
Filed under: Elaeis guineensis (African oil palm)
Lineage: Eukaryota; Viridiplantae; Streptophyta; Magnoliopsida; Arecales; Arecaceae
Description: long non-coding RNA (EGUI_LNC036353)
Source: RNAcentral